RNAcentral lists this ribosomal RNA (501 nucleotides) under uncultured bacterium. RNAcentral's name for it is "partial 16S ribosomal RNA". It matches the Rfam family "Bacterial small subunit ribosomal RNA", at positions 29 to 523 of the family's 1533-position model. The record is from RNAcentral.
AUUGAACGCUGGCGGCAUGCCUUACACAUGCAAGUCGAACGGCAGCACGGGUGCUUGCACCUGGUGGCGAGUGGCGAACGGGUGAGUAAUACAUCGGAACGUACCUUAUCGGGGGGGAUAACGCAGCGAAAGCUGUGCUAAUACCGCAUACGCCCUGAGGGGGAAAGCGGGGGAUCGCAAGACCUCGCGCGAUUAGAGCGGCCGAUGCCUGAUUAGCUUGUUGGUGGGGUAAAAGCCCACCAAGGCGACGAUCAGUAGCUGGUCUGAGAGGACGAUCAGCCACACUGGGACUGAGACACGGCCCAGACUCCUACGGGAGGCAGCAGUGGGGAAUUUUGGACAAUGGGGGCAACCCUGAUCCAGCAAUGCCGCGUGAGUGAAGAAGGCCUUCGGGUUGUAAAGCUCUUUUGUCAGGGAAGAAACACCGGCUCUAACACAGUCCGGGAAUGACGGUACCUGAAGAAUAAGCACCGGCUGACUACGUGCCAGCCGCCGCCGUAA